This 1416-nucleotide long non-coding RNA is filed under the name Calidris pygmaea (Spoon-billed sandpiper). RNAcentral's name for it is "lncRNA (ENSCPGG00000005608.1)". The record is from RNAcentral. Lineage: Eukaryota; Metazoa; Chordata; Aves; Charadriiformes; Scolopacidae.
GUGUUUGUGUACAUGUGUGCAUGCACAUGUGCAACUUGAUUCCUCGCUCCUUUAGAGUUUAUGUGGUCACUUCCUUUUGUGUAAAGCAACAGCAGAGUGGGGAAAAAUUGCUUGGGUGAUAUUCUUUCUAUAGGUGAAAACGCCCCUAUGUAAAGCAAGACAAAAGUACUAAGAAGUAUUUCAUGGAGCCAGCCACUGUCCGAGGGAUGAGUCUUGUGUUUGCUGUGCCAUACUCUGCAUUCUCCUUCUUUUCUUUAUAUCCAUGACAAUUCAUCUGGGACUGUUCCUGUUCCCUUUAGUGGCUGCACACAAAUUCUGAAGUUACCUUUUUCCGCUACACAUCCACCAAGUUCUGAGACAGGAACUCCUGCGGCUGAGCUGUGGGUAAACUGCAUUGAUUGCAACUUCUGUAAUCUGACUUGGUCCACCCCUGUCAUCUUGACAGGUCAAAAUCCUUUUGCCACUUCUUUUGUUGAUGUUACAAGCCUGGUUUUUUAAAGUUGUGGGGGAAAAAAAAUGUACUAUUUUUCAGCCUGUGAAUGACAGAUUUUUCACAGGGAUUUGCUUUUAACUUUUUUCAUGCUCUCCUGAAAUUAAUUUUUCUCAGUCUGAUAUUUCCAAAUUACCUCUCUUCUAGUUCCUACAUUGUGCUUCUCUUUUGCUGAUGUGCUGAAGUGCACAAUUUAAACUUUUUUUGUUUUGGUUUUGUUUUUCGAAACUUCAAGGAUAAGAAUAAUCUCCUCUAGUUGUAGAAGUCUACAUCAGGAGGAAGCAAACUGUACCCUAGGUCUGCUCCAUUCAUUAUAACCUUGGCAUUUUGAGUAUUAAAACCAAGAUAAGUAAAUUGACCAUAGUAUUUUGACAUAACAUUAACAUAAGAGUGAAGAAGGUUAUUCCUCAGGUUUGUUCUACAGAUUUAUGUUUCAGGAAGUUGCAAUGGGUUCAUGUUGAUUUUACCUGAAAGUCUCAACAGAAAUCUUUUUUAAGAAUUUAAACCUACAUGUUCCUGACACACUGCAUCCCUUCCAAGUUUGUUUGGUGAUACAGGAAAUUUUUCAAAUUUCUCCAGUGUAAGUUUCUUCACUUCACAGCUUUUUUUUAUUUCCCUUUCUGUUCUGUUCAUGAAUAGAAGAAGAUUGAAUUAGUCUUAUCAGCUGAAACAAUAUGAUCUUUAUGAUUUCUGGAAUUUAAGCCAAGGGAGUAGAAAUCUAAUGGUGUCUACUUGUCAAGAUAGAUGGAAAUGUGAAAUUCAAACAAGGGAUCAUUGAGGAAUGUUAUUUUUAUUACAAGAUAUUUAUUUAACUAUACAAUAUUUUCUUCCUUCUGAGGUACCAUUAGAUAUAUAAUAUAAAGUAAGAAAAAAAUGUUUAUUAUUUCAAUCGUCUUUGAUAAUAAAUUUAUCAAGUAGAAAGUGCA